GUAGUCCAUGCCGUAAACGUUGGGCACUAGGUGUGGGGCUCAUUCCACGAGUUCCGUGCCGCAGCAAACGCAUUAAGUGCCCCGCCUGGGGAGUACGGCCGCAAGGCUAAAACUCAAAGAAAUUGACGGGGGCCCGCACAAGCGGCGGAGCAUGCGGAUUAAUUCGAUGCAACGCGAAGAACCUUACCAAGGCUUGACAUACACCGGAAAAGUGCAGAGAUGUGCUCCCCGCAAGGUCGGUGUACAGGUGGUGCAUGGUUGUCGUCAGCUCGUGUCGUGAGAUGUUGGGUUAAGUCCCGCAACGAGCGCAACCCUCGUCCCAUGUUGCCAGCGGGUUAUGCCGGGGACUC
RNAcentral lists this ribosomal RNA (350 nucleotides) under uncultured Cellulomonas sp. Its description in RNAcentral is "bacterial SSU rRNA". It matches the Rfam family "Bacterial small subunit ribosomal RNA", at positions 790 to 1140 of the family's 1533-position model. Lineage: Bacteria; Bacillati; Actinomycetota; Actinomycetes; Micrococcales; Cellulomonadaceae. The record is from RNAcentral.